This 253-nucleotide ribosomal RNA is filed under the name uncultured bacterium. RNAcentral's name for it is "partial 16S ribosomal RNA". It matches the Rfam family "Bacterial small subunit ribosomal RNA", at positions 524 to 776 of the family's 1533-position model. The record is from RNAcentral.
UACGGAGGGGGUUAGCGUUGUUCGGAAUGACUGGUCGUAAAGCGCGCGUAGGCGGACCAUCAAGUCGGGGGUGAAAUCCCGUGGCUCAACCCCGGAAUGGCCUUCGAGACUGGUGGUCUUGAGUUCGAGAGAGGUGAGUGGAAUUCCGAGUGUAGAGGUGAAAUUGGUAGAUAUUCGGAGGAACACCAGUGGCGAAGGCGGCUCACUGGCUCGACACUGACGCUGAGGUGCGAAAGCGUGGGGAGCAAACAGG